UCCGCCAGUCACUCAGUACGAUACUCCAGAGGUCAAAUCAGGGUCAUUACAAGACCCUGAGAAAAUCAUCAUUUAUUGCCAUGGCAACUCGUUUCAUCGUGGUUUCAAGCAUCGAAGAGAUUUAUAUUCGGAGCUGCAGAAAUCAGGAUUCCACAUCAUAGCUUUUGACUACAGUGGGUUUGCGGACUCUACCGGUCAGCCGAGCCCAACAAGAGUCGUGGAGGAUGCAAUUAGCGUGUAUAAGUGGACGGUCAAGCAGCUCCAGAAAAAAGAUGUGACAAUCGUGCUUUGUUUUCACCCGGCACUUACAUCAGCACGAGGGCGCUAUCGCUCAUGUACGACCAGAAAGAUGGCACUCGACUCCCUGACUGUCUGAUACUUGAAGCUCCGUUCACGAAUACAUACGAUGCCGCGGACUGCUUUCCACUAUCUAAGAAUCGACAUUCAUCUCGGUGAGACUCUGUACAAAAAGACGACCUCUGACCCCAUGACAAAAUCUCCUCACAUUCGUUUCAUUCGAAUGCACGAGGAUUACGGAGUGAAGCACUACUCUGCUAAGCACCCUGAGAUAAGGCAGUUAGUGCAUGAUUUCAUGGUUGAAGUAGCAAAGGUCAAAAGUUAUCAGGAACAAGGAAGUAAAAAUAGAUUUGAAUUAAUAGAUAUUUAAUUUUUCAUUUUAUUUGUAUAAGUAGGCAAUAAAUAUAAAUGCUUUGGUCGAGUAGCAAAGAUCAAAGGUUACCAGGAAAUAUGAAGUAAAACUGAUUCAAGAUUUAUUUCUUUUAUUAACCUUUAUUUUGUUAACUAGACAAUUAGAGGCAAAUUGAACUUGCAUUUCUGGAAUUACGACAAGUGAUACAUGGGCUUGUUUUCGUUAAGUAAA
Styela clava is the source of this 880-nucleotide non-coding RNA. NCBI's taxonomy places the organism in Eukaryota, Metazoa, Chordata, Ascidiacea, Stolidobranchia, Styelidae. The record is from RefSeq and is a predicted model, not a curated record.